This 3394-nucleotide long non-coding RNA is filed under the name Capra hircus (goat). RNAcentral's name for it is "lncRNA (ENSCHIG00010000237.1)". The record is from RNAcentral. Lineage: Eukaryota; Metazoa; Chordata; Mammalia; Artiodactyla; Bovidae.
AUGAGUUUGAUAGCAGGUGGCAGGGUUGGGGGGGUGGUCAGAGAACUCUGCUCUGAGUCAUGUUUGUUGAGAAAUGAGAAUGUACAGGCAAGUGUGGACUUUGAAAGACACCCAGGCAUGAGAAUCAAGCUGCAUCAUGACAGGAGUAGUAGCAACACCCAGAGCGACAGAACCAAAAAGCCAGUGCUAUGCCCUGGGGACCAGCUAUGUUCUGCUAAAUGCUGCAUAUCUCUAUCUGGUCUUCACAGUCUCUAUUUUGCAAUGGAGGAAACUGAGAUUCAGCAAGGUUACAUAAUAUAUGCAAGGUCACAGAGCUGCUAAAUUGAAAAGCUGACAUGUAGCAAGAUAGCAUAGGAAAACAAAACUUACAUUUGCUGGCUUAGCAGACUUAAAUUCCUUUCACUUNNNNNNNNNNNNNNNNNNNNNNNNNNNAAUACAUAUUUAUUCACCAAGUCUAUCCAUUAAACAUCUAAUCCAGGGCACUACUCUGAGCUUAGAGAAGAUGGUCUAACUCCCAAGGCAGAUGGACCUUUAGAUAAAUUUAUAGCCAAUUAGGGCUGGGAGCCAAUAGCAUUUUCUCUUAUGGAAAGUUGGGUUCAUGUUCCAUCACAAUAUUAUUUAAUGGCAAGACCCCAAGUGGAAUGUUCCAGAGACCUUUAGCAAUUGUGCACUGCAUGUUAUUUAAACUAAAAACAAUGCUGUGAAAAACUGCACUUCAGCACAAGCCACAGAGAGCAUGCAGAAUGGAAUUGGCCGCUGAAAAGGAGACAUGAUGAUUGAAAUAUUUUCCAGACUAUUACAUCCUUGAAGGGUUUAAACAGAGAGAAGGAAGACAGGGAAGGGGAGGAGGAUGAUUUAGGGUGUUUCAUUUAAGAACAACAGGAUUAAAUUAACCUUGGAGGUGGCGGAGNNNNNNNNNNNNNNNNNNNNNNNNNNNNNNNNNNNNNNNNNNNNNNNNNNNNNNNNNNNNNNNNNNNNNNNNNNNNNNNNNNNNNNNNNNNNNNNNNNNGGAGGGGGGGGGGGGGGUGGUAACAGCAGAGGGUGGUGGAGAGAAAUAUUUUGCAAGAUGUGAGAAGCUUCCCAAAGGAGAAGUACGCUGGAAUGCAGAAUUUUCCAGCCCAGCAAAGCAGGCAAAGCCAUCUAUCAUUAAAGCUAUUUACAAACUUGACAAAUAUAAGGGAAAAUAUUAAAAAUAUAUAGUAGAACCACAUUCUUCGUUUUAUGAAUGGAUGAACUAAUAUCUCUAAAUCAGGAAAAACUGCCUAUUUCUUGAGAUUUGUUUUCUCCCAUUUGUCAGUCUUAUUUCCCCAACUUUAAAACAAAUAUCACAUAGUAACUGGAGCUCUAAUAAAAUUUCAACCCCGAGAAGGAGAUGGGUUGCAUUGCAAUUUUUAAAUGUCUAUUAACUGAACUAUUAUAUUAAUAAAGCUGACUUCUUAAUCCUAUUUUACUUACAAUUUUCAGUCAGGCUGCAGAAAUUCUAAAUUACACAAAGCAGCCAAAAGAUGAAAAGAAAACUUCCAGAAUUAAAACCCAGCAGACCUAAACAUUUAUUGACUUCUCAGCAUACUGAGAAAAAUCAAAGGUUUGCUUGUGGGGGAAAGGAUGGGUGUGACAGGCCCAGCUUUGUCAGCUCUGAAAAUCAUCUAUAAGCAGUCUCAGCCAUCCUCACUGCUAAGCUAUUUUCAGAGAUAACCCCUAGGUCUGGAUUUGCAUGAUCAGAAUUACUGUUUGUGCACUGCUGCCCCCUGCUGGACAAAUGGAACUCAUUUUUGUCCAUGGCCCAAGGAAAUGCUAUUUGUAAAUCUAAAUUACUUUUUCAUUCCCUUCCUCCCAUCCCCCACUUGCAAUAGCACUCUCCCCAAGGACUCUGUUAGGAGACAAUUCCAUCUGAGCUAAUGGGCAAACAUCCCUUAUAAUGCAAUUAGUGGGAAUCCUCCUACUGCAACCCCAGUGACCCUGCAUCAGGAUGGCUUACCAGAGGCAGCAGAAAAUAUGAAACACACCAUCUUUCUGCUCCAAGGACCACUUUAUGAAAAUAUUCCAUUGAAUUAACAUUAAUUCAAGCCCUAGUGGUUUUUCUUCUCAGAGGAUCCAGGGUCAGCCAAAAUGUCAGCCAGAGCCUCCCUCCCUUUCAUUUGAUAUUUAUAUACGAUGCCUCCCUCUUAGUUGGCAGGGGACAGGGGUGGCUGCAUCCCUGGAAACCAAUCCAUCUCAAUGCCUCUAUAGAUGGAGGUUCUGCCUAAGUUCCAGAGCCCUGUGAACUGCCAACAGACCCUCAACAUGUGAGAGUCCACUGAGGCCUGGUGGGGCUGACCAGUUCAUUUUCAUUACUAGGCUCCUGGAAGGCAGUAUGCUUCAGAAAGAAUGGAGGGAAGGAAGGAAGGAAAGAAGUCUCAAGCGGGAUGACUUUGUCUCCAUUGUGCUAGGUGCUAGGAAUCCAAAGGUUGAUAAGCAACAUACACUUCAGCGGUCAGUCCUCAUCAUCUUGUCCACUGCAACCAAGCUGGCCAAGUCUCAAGUCUCAGGUCCAGUCUUAACAAAACCCCUUCCAGCAGACCCUCCCACCAUAUUUCUCUGAAUUUCUCUGCCCACCUCCAUGUGCCCAGUUAUCACUCCUACCACAGCUAGCUCCUCCUAGCCUGUGUGUCCUAGGGGAGCCUCUUGCUAUAAAACCAAUGGUUCUCAGAAUUCUCUGGGAAGUUGUCAUAAAGGCAAACUCUUGGGCCUCAAUCCAGGCUUGAUGAUUUAGAAAUUAGGGCCCAGAAAUCUGCAUUUCACAAGCCCUUGGGGAGAUUCUGAUGCUCACUCAAGUUUGAGAACUGUGGCUGUCAAGGUCUAGUUUUCUCCACACACCUACUCCCAACCAAAUGUCUCUUUAAUGCUGAUGGGGAAAAAACAUAAGGAGUCUGAUCAACCAUCCUCCAUACCUAUUAUUGAUGCUGAUGGGCUCUUCAUCCUCAGAUGCCUCGAUGAACAUGAAAUCUCUAGGGAAAGCUUCCGGUAAUCCUCAAGACUCUGACCAAGAAAACUAUCAUUCCCUCUCUCCUGUGUGAGCCCUCUGUCCUGGGUGACUCUAGUCAUCACAGAACAUCACUGUCCCAGGUCAUGCAGAGUGUGGUUCUAGAACAGCCUCACCUGCAUCCCCUGGGAACUUACGAGAAACCCAAGAUCCCAGGUCUUGCCCUAAACCUGCUGAUCAGAAUCUGCCGUCUUCUUGGUUUGCAGGGUGGGGUGGGGAAACAGAUGCUCAGGCUGGUUAAAGAACUUGCCAAGGUCAUAUGACAGCUGACUGGUGGAUUUGGGAUUAGGAUCCAGGAUUCCCCUGUGUAGCUGGCCUAGUAAACUUUCCCUUCUACCACGUUCCCUCUCUCGUUCAAUUCACUGUGCCAAC